GACGAACGCUGGCGGCGUGCUUAACACAUGCAAGUCGAACGGAAAGGCCCUGCUUUUGUGGGGUGCUCGAGUGGCGAACGGGUGAGUAACACGUGAGUAACCUGCCCCUGACUUUGGGAUAACUUCAGGAAACUGGGGCUAAUACCGGAUAGGAGCUCCUGCUGCAUGGUGGGGGUUGGAAAGUUUCGGCGGUUGGGGAUGGACUCGCGGCUUAUCAGCUUGUUGGUGGGGUAGUGGCUUACCAAGGCUUUGACGGGUAGCCGGCCUGAGAGGGUGACCGGCUACAUUGGGACUGAGAUACGGCCCAGACUCCUACGGGAGGCAGCAGUGGGGAAUAUUGCACAAUGGGCGGAAGCCUGAUGCAGCAACGCCGCGUGCGGGAUGACGGCCUUCGGGUUGUAAACCGCUUUCGCCUGUGACGAAGCGUGAGUGACGGUAAUGGGUAAAGAAGCACCGGCUAACUACGUG
RNAcentral lists this ribosomal RNA (468 nucleotides) under uncultured bacterium. Its description in RNAcentral is "partial 16S ribosomal RNA". It matches the Rfam family "Bacterial small subunit ribosomal RNA", at positions 28 to 507 of the family's 1533-position model. The record is from RNAcentral.